UUGAACGCUGGCGGCAGGCCUAACACAUGCAAGUCGAGCGGAUGAAGGGAGCUUGCUCCUGGAUUCAGCGGCGGACGGGUGAGUAAUGCCUAGGAAUCUGCCUGGUAGUGGGGGAUAACGUCCGGAAACGGGCGCUAAUACCGCAUACGUCCUGAGGGAGAAAGUGGGGGAUCUUCGGACCUCACGCUAUCAGACGAGCCUAGGUCGGAUUAGCUAGUUGGUGGGGUAAAGGCCUACCAAGGCGACGAUCCGUAACUGGUCUGAGAGGAUGAUCAGUCACACUGGAACUGAGACACGGUCCAGACUCCUACGGGAGGCAGCAGUGGGGAAUAUUGGACAAUGGGCGAAAGCCUGAUCCAGCCAUGCCGCGUGUGUGAAGAAGGUCUUCGGAUUGUAAAGCACUUUAAGUUGGGAGGAAGGGCAGUAAGUUAAUACCUUGCUGUUUUGACGUUACCAACAGAAUAAGCACCGGCUAACUUCGUG
Molecule: ribosomal RNA, 483 nt
Filed under: uncultured bacterium
Lineage: Bacteria
Description: partial 16S ribosomal RNA
Rfam family: Bacterial small subunit ribosomal RNA
Source: RNAcentral